RNAcentral lists this ribosomal RNA (185 nucleotides) under uncultured bacterium. Its description in RNAcentral is "partial 16S ribosomal RNA". It matches the Rfam family "Bacterial small subunit ribosomal RNA", at positions 346 to 523 of the family's 1533-position model. The record is from RNAcentral.
AGGCAGCAGCGGGGAAUAUUGCACAAUGGGCGCAAGCCUGAUGCAGCCAUGCCGCGUGUGUGAAGAAGGCCUUCGGGUUGUAAAGCACUUUCAGCGGGGAGGAAGGCGGUGAGGUUAAUAACCUCACCGAUUGACGUUACCCGCAGAAGAAGCACCGGCUAACUCCGUGCCAGCAGCCGCGGUAA